GGCUGAAUCAUCUUCAACUCUACAGUGAAGUAGAAGAGACAGGGAUAUCCCAGAAGGUUAUGCAAAACAUCAAGAGAAGAUGAGAGGAGUCUAUAUGUCAGAAUACACAUUUCCCACCUUGCCCAACAGUAGAAAAACAUAAGAAGAGAAAAACAUUAAAAAAUGACAAGGAAGUUAAUGGAAGUCAGCAAUGUGAUGGUGUUUGGAGGUGGAGCCUUCAGAAGGUAAUUAAUGCCCUUGUAAGAAGAGGCCAGAGAGCUUGCGCACCUUCUUCCUGCCAUGUGAGGAGCCAAGAAGCCGGCUGUCUGCAACCUGCAAGAGGACCCUCACUAGAAGCUAGCCAUACUGGCAUCCUCAUCUUGGCUUUCCAACUUCCAGAACUGUGAGAAGUAUAUGUUUGUGGUUUAGUCAAUGGUCUAUGGUAAUUUUUUUAUAGCAGUCCCAGCCAAGACAGUGCCUCAUUUACUACAUACCAUUUAUAUUAUUAUAUAGGCUCCUUUCAGAAACCCAUGUUCAAAUAAGAGAUAAGAUACUGAAACACAUAACACCUUCACUAGUUUUUAGUAUACAAAUAUUGAGAAAUAGUUUGUUAUUAACUAUCUCAUCCAAGAAAUGCAGAUUCAUGUUGUUUCUAAUUUUUUAUAUAUAAUUGACAAAAUGAAGAAACUUAACACCAUCCU
This 680-nucleotide long non-coding RNA is filed under the name Homo sapiens (human). RNAcentral's name for it is "MRPS30 divergent transcript". Lineage: Eukaryota; Metazoa; Chordata; Mammalia; Primates; Hominidae. The record is from RNAcentral.